UAUGAUUCUCCAAUCCAAUCUAUUAUAUGUGGUAAGGUGGGAUGAAAAGACAAGGAAAUUAAACACAAGGACGAGAAGACAGAUAAGGACUUCACCACCUUCACCUUGGAUCGAUCACAAGCGAUCUACCAAGCAACCCCUAUCAACCUUUACAUGUAAGAAACUAACCCACGCAACUGUAAACCCUAUCAGAUCUGACUGACUGACUGCACCUCGAUCUCACAUGUCGUCGUCCGGGGUGUGACGCCUUUGCCUCUUGGCACGUCGCGGUGGUGGCUCCUCUCUCCGCUGAAACAACUGCUCCAUUUCUUUGGCUCCCACCACGAUGAGCUCUACCUGCGGCUGCCACCGCGGCCGCCGCCGCCUGCAGACGGCGACCCUCCUGCGCUUCCUCGGCGCAGGCGGGCAGUUCAAGGGAAGCGACGGUAGCUUACUCUCCUCCGACGUCGGAGUUCGGCACUCCUCUUCAUCGCCAUGAUCACCACCACCCUCUUCUGAUCUUACUGUCUCGACGGGCCUCAACGUCGCCGCACUGGUUAGCUCCGGCGAAGCUGACAUCUUUGUUAGCAAGCAGGAGGCUUGCAAGAGAAGGUAGGGUGUCGGAGAAGAGUCGUUCCUUGGCCUCUUGCUCAUCUGAUCGGUACGAGUAACACAACCAUAUAUGUAUAUAUAUAUAUAUUGUCUUCUUUUCCCUUCUCUCUCUCUCUCUCUCUCAUAUUCAUACAGUACUUUUUACGUUACAGGUUCUUCUGGGGAUGCUUAGUUCCAAGAUGAUCUCCUCACCUUUUUACUUUUGCUGCAUGGGGGGGCCCUUUGGAAGGUAUCUUAUCUUCGAUUCGCUCUGCAACAGAGGGCAAUGUGAUGGGGUUGGAUGCUGUCACCAGAGAACGAUCAUCUUACCGGUCAAAAGGAGGAAACGUGGGUAGGAUGAGAGGUAGAGGAACCUAAGACGCGGUAUUGGCACCCGAGGGGACUAAACCCCUUUAUCAUAGGAUACCUUCUUGGGUUAAGGAGCAUGUAGACAGGGGUGGGUGGUGCUGUGGGACCCGGCCGGUAGAACAACCCGCAUUGGAUGCUGUGUAGGCUGGUAAAUGCCGUGCGUGACCCGACCAAGGUAAGGAAUUCACUGGGUUCAAAUAAAUUGCCACGCAUGCAGUGGCCAGAGGAGAAACAACCAAUCAUAGCCAUCCACCUAAAUCCAAAUUCGAAUCCAAUCUGGAUGUUUCUUUUGCUUUUCUAACCCGUGUC
RNAcentral lists this long non-coding RNA (1248 nucleotides) under Musa acuminata (dwarf banana). RNAcentral's name for it is "long non-coding RNA (MACU_LNC000293)". Lineage: Eukaryota; Viridiplantae; Streptophyta; Magnoliopsida; Zingiberales; Musaceae. The record is from RNAcentral.